GUGGCCAUUGACCUGCAGGUGGGAACCGCAGGGAGCCUCGGAGCGUUGACCGGGCAGCUCCGAGGAAGCGCAGCCUGCACAGCGGCAGCACCCGGGCGAGCCUGGGUGCCGCGCUGCGCGCAGCUGCACGGCUAAAGAGCAAGCCCGGACAGGGUCACUAGAGAUCGGUAAUUGUUAGGCAGCCAUGCAAGAGUGGAAAAAAACCCACAGCUUAAAUACUCCUCCCCCAGCCUAACCCCCAGGAUUAUGCCUCUGAUAACCACGGUGGUAGCUGGCCCCCUAUUGGGUUCAUCUCCGAGUCUGCUGUGGGUGCAGUGAAGUGUUGCCCGGUUUCUUUAAUGAUCAGUAUUACGCUUUUUAUAUCUUUAAGGUUUCUGAAACGGCUGUUGAGCCUGUUUUUCUGUGCCAGUAUCAGGCAUCAGCGGGCCCUGGCGCUGAAGCAGACCCCAGCGGGACGCCUGGAAGGCAGUGCUGUGCCAGGAAGCUGGACUGCUGAAUCUCAAAUUAUGGCUUACAGGCCACUGGUUACCUGUAAAAGCUAUAAUCAAUUUAUCACUGAUGCGUUAAUAAAGUUUGCUGACGUGGAGGCACGGUCAUCUCUGAAAAAUUCUAAAGAAGAGGGGUUCCUCAUUCAACAAGAUUUGGAAGCUGUUGGCUAGAUAACUCUCCUAGUGCGCCUGGGGCUAUAGCACAUCAGUUCACUCAAGUAGCGGUGGUUCGGUGGCAAUCCAGUGUUUUACAACGCCCACAGCAGACAGCCUGACAUACCGCAACGAAAGAUGGAUGGCACUUUCUGAAACUGGUCAGCUAGCAUAACUUGGGAGAAACUGCACUCCGCUCAGGUCUCCUCUUGCGUUGCUUCAGCUGACACACAACUCUUACUUGCUUGGAGCUGGUGCAUAAAGUUGUUAAAUGCCUGUGAUGACUGUUUUCCACUCCAGUAAGGUGUAAUAAUUUGAAUAUCUAUCUAGAUAUUCCAAGGCACGCUAUUAUAGACCAACAUGCACACUCACAGAGAUUCACAGACUGGAAUAUACAGAUACUCUGUGCUGGAUAUCUGUACACUUUAGUCACAGAUACCUUUAUAUAAAGUGUAAUGAAGUACCAUAAAGGAAUCAUCAUCAUGACAAUGCAUUCCUAAUAAAGGGUCCUCCAUGUACA
Molecule: long non-coding RNA, 1161 nt
Filed under: Struthio camelus australis
Lineage: Eukaryota; Metazoa; Chordata; Aves; Struthioniformes; Struthionidae
Description: lncRNA (ENSSCUG00000010811.1)
Source: RNAcentral